UUUCUCAGCCUGGAGACUGAAAGCUCUCUUUGGCUGUUGGCCCUCCCAGGCAGAGUCCACUGGCUGUUAGGGUGAAAUGGGGCUGAUGCUUCCUGGAAUCCACCAGAAGUAUGCAAAUUGCACCAUCUCUUUCAGCUGCCUGUGCCUGCAUUCCAUCAAGGAUUCCAGCUCGGCCCCAGUGGCAACAACUAGAGAGGAGGUGAGGAUCCCUGGUGCUGCCAUCUGAUAGGCUGUCUCCCUAGCUCCUCUUGCACUGGCAAUCCUUUCAUCACACAGGCCUUGUUUUGAAGGGACCUAUUCCACCCACAGUGGUUUCUUACCUCUAGGAGACCAAAAAGCUGUAGUCAUUGCUGUGGUAUCAGGAACUCGAGUUCCUCUCAGAGGUGUUGUGAAGAGCUUCCCUUCCAACAGUACAUGGCCUAAAUACCAGGGAGGAAGUUUCUGACUUUUUCCAUCUUCAGUAAAACAGAACCUCUGUUGUGGAUGCAGUGGCUUUGCAAGGAGAGUGGCAUUGUCUCUUGGUGAAUGUAGUUGUUCAAGGCCUGG
Molecule: long non-coding RNA, 546 nt
Filed under: Pan troglodytes (chimpanzee)
Lineage: Eukaryota; Metazoa; Chordata; Mammalia; Primates; Hominidae
Description: lincRNA
Source: RNAcentral